UUUUCCUUUCUUCGUACCCAG
RNAcentral lists this non-coding RNA (21 nucleotides) under Caenorhabditis elegans. The record is from RNAcentral. Lineage: Eukaryota; Metazoa; Nematoda; Chromadorea; Rhabditida; Rhabditidae.